AUGAUACCCUGGGGUGGAUGUAAAGCCAAGCAAAUUGCUUCCGCGCCGAGAAACGAAGAUUGUGUGGGUUGUAAGAGAUGUGAAUCUGCCUGCCCGACAGAUUUUUUAAGUGUCCCCGUGAGUUGUGUAUUCACUCCAAUAAUACUAUUGUCAAGUAUCUUUAGGGAUGAAGAUCUCGGCAAGAUAUGA
Molecule: ribosomal RNA, 189 nt
Filed under: Triticum aestivum (bread wheat)
Lineage: Eukaryota; Viridiplantae; Streptophyta; Magnoliopsida; Poales; Poaceae
Description: partial small subunit ribosomal RNA
Source: RNAcentral